UGACACAGAUCGUAUUUCUCUACUUUUUGCC
RNAcentral lists this non-coding RNA (31 nucleotides) under Mus musculus (house mouse). The record is from RNAcentral. Lineage: Eukaryota; Metazoa; Chordata; Mammalia; Rodentia; Muridae.